GGUAGGAUGGCUGAGAUAUAGGCGGUAAAUUGUAAAUUUACGGACGAAGGCUUCUUCUUCUAUCA
RNAcentral lists this transfer RNA (65 nucleotides) under Trigonopterus kotamobagensis. Its description in RNAcentral is "tRNA-Tyr". Lineage: Eukaryota; Metazoa; Arthropoda; Insecta; Coleoptera; Curculionidae. The record is from RNAcentral.